CAGCUCGUGCCGUGAGGUGUUAGGUUAAGUCCUGUAACGAGACGCAACCCCUACUACUUAGUUACCUAGCACGUAAUGGUGGGGGACGUCUAGGUAAACUGCCUGCGCAAGCAGAGAGGAAGGUGGGGAUGACGUCAAAUCAGCACGGCCCUUACGUCCAGGGCCACACACGUGCUACAAUGGCCGAUACAGAGGGCAGCUACCUGGUGACAGGAUGCAAAUCUCGAAAGUCGGUCUCAGUUCGGAUCGGAGUCUGCAACUCGACUCCGUGAAGUUGGAUUCGCUAGUAAUCGCGCAUCAGCCAUGGCGCGGUGAAUACGUUCCCGGGCCUU
Molecule: ribosomal RNA, 332 nt
Filed under: uncultured Sphingobacteriales bacterium
Lineage: Bacteria; Pseudomonadati; Bacteroidota; Sphingobacteriia; Sphingobacteriales
Description: bacterial SSU rRNA
Rfam family: Bacterial small subunit ribosomal RNA
Source: RNAcentral